Molecule: ribosomal RNA, 357 nt
Filed under: Triticum aestivum (bread wheat)
Lineage: Eukaryota; Viridiplantae; Streptophyta; Magnoliopsida; Poales; Poaceae
Description: partial small subunit ribosomal RNA
Source: RNAcentral
AUGUAUCAGACGAGAAAGUUGUGGUGUGCUCCAUAUCUUGAGGGGCGUUGUUUCCUAGGAUUGAGCAGCAAUCAGAGGAGUGAGAGCUUGAACUCUGUGCUACAUACGCAUCUUGAGGGUAAGAUGUCGUUGUUUGAAAUGCUAGAGCACUAUGAGCAUUGCCUCGCGUCACGACGGAUUAACGAAGCUCUCCAUGACGUCGAAGCCUUGCAGUCCGUUCCAUUUACAGAGGAAAAUGCUUCACCGCUUGAGAAACACGCCGCAAUAGUUUUCACACCUAGUGUCUUUAAGAUGGUGUUAUGGAGCAUAGAUGCUGUCAGCAAAUGUCAGAUCAGAGAGAUACUAGAUGGAUCAUAA